Molecule: transfer RNA, 68 nt
Filed under: Marmota monax (woodchuck)
Lineage: Eukaryota; Metazoa; Chordata; Mammalia; Rodentia; Sciuridae
Description: tRNA.Ala
Rfam family: tRNA (bases 5-65)
About the family: Transfer RNA (tRNA) molecules are approximately 80 nucleotides in length. Their secondary structure includes four short double-helical elements and three loops (D, anti-codon, and T loops). Further hydrogen bonds mediate the characteristic L-shaped molecular structure. tRNAs have two regions of fundamental functional importance: the anti-codon, which is responsible for specific mRNA codon recognition, and the 3' end, to which the tRNAs corresponding amino acid is attached (by aminoacyl-tRNA synthetases). tRNAs cope with the degeneracy of the genetic code in two manners: having more than one tRNA (with a specific anti-codon) for a particular amino acid; and 'wobble' base-pairing, i.e. permitting non-standard base-pairing at the 3rd anti-codon position.
Source: RNAcentral
GGAUUGUGGCUCAGCGGUAGAGCGCUUGCCUAGCACAUAGGAGGCCCUGGGUUCAAUACUCAGCACCA